GUUGGGCAUGUGAUGAAACUUAUUUUGACAAAUGGGUAAUUUGCGUCUGAAUUCUUUCAUUGAUGCUAUACACCUUGGAGACCUGAUGCCCUUA
Molecule: small nucleolar RNA, 94 nt
Organism: Arachis stenosperma
Lineage: Eukaryota; Viridiplantae; Streptophyta; Magnoliopsida; Fabales; Fabaceae
Source: RefSeq, a predicted model, not a curated record